Molecule: ribosomal RNA, 326 nt
Filed under: uncultured Desulfovibrio sp.
Lineage: Bacteria; Pseudomonadati; Thermodesulfobacteriota; Desulfovibrionia; Desulfovibrionales; Desulfovibrionaceae
Description: bacterial SSU rRNA
Rfam family: Bacterial small subunit ribosomal RNA
Source: RNAcentral
UGGGGAAUAUUGCGCAAGUGGGGCGAAAGCCUGACGCAGCGACGCCGCGUGAGGGAUGAAGGUCUUCGGAUCGUAAACCUCUGUCAGAAGGGAAGAAACUAGGGUGCUCUAAUCAUCAUCCUACUGACGGUACCUUCAAAGGAAGCACCGGCUAACUCCGUGCCAGCAGCCGCGGUAAUACGGAGGGUGCAAGCGUUAAUCGGAAUCACUGGGCAUAAAGCGCACGUAGGCUGUUAUGUAAGUCAGGGGUGAAAGCCCAGGCUCAACCGUGGAACUGCCCUUGAUACUGCACGACUCGAAUCCGGGAGAGGGUGGCGGAAUUCCAG